RNAcentral lists this ribosomal RNA (465 nucleotides) under Vreelandella stevensii. RNAcentral describes it as "partial 16S ribosomal RNA". It matches the Rfam family "Bacterial small subunit ribosomal RNA", at positions 338 to 795 of the family's 1533-position model. The record is from RNAcentral. Lineage: Bacteria; Pseudomonadati; Pseudomonadota; Gammaproteobacteria; Oceanospirillales; Halomonadaceae.
CCUACGGGUGGCAGCAGUGGGGAAUAUUGGACAAUGGGGGCAACCCUGAUCCAGCCAUGCCGCGUGUGUGAAGAAGGCCCUCGGGUUGUAAAGCACUUUCAGUGAGGAAGAACGCCUGGUGGUUAAUACCCAUCAGGAAAGACAUCACUCACAGAAGAAGCACCGGCUAACUCCGUGCCAGCAGCCGCGGUAAUACGGAGGGUGCGAGCGUUAAUCGGAAUUACUGGGCGUAAAGCGCGCGUAGGUGGCUUGAUAAGCCGGUUGUGAAAGCCCCGGGCUCAACCUGGGAACGGCAUCCGGAACUGUCAAGGUAGAGUGCAGGAGAGGAAGGUAGAAUUCCCGGUGUAGCGGUGAAAUGCGUAGAGAUCGGGAGGAAUACCAGUGGCGAAGGCGGCCUUCUGGACUGACACUGACACUGAGGUGCGAAAGCGUGGGUAGCAAACAGGAUUAGAUACCCCGGUAGUC